GCCGGGCAUGGUGGCGUGUACCUGUAAUCUCAGCUACUCAGGAGGCUGAGGCAGGAGAAUUGCUUGAACCCAGGAGGUGGAGGUUGCAGUGAGCCAAGAUCAUGCCACUGUAGUCCAGCCUGGGUGACAGAGUGAGAUUCUGUCUCUA
This 148-nucleotide non-coding RNA is filed under the name Nomascus leucogenys (northern white-cheeked gibbon). Lineage: Eukaryota; Metazoa; Chordata; Mammalia; Primates; Hylobatidae. The record is from Rfam by way of RNAcentral.